RNAcentral lists this long non-coding RNA (652 nucleotides) under Salmo salar (Atlantic salmon). RNAcentral's name for it is "lncRNA (ENSSSAG00000104828.1)". Lineage: Eukaryota; Metazoa; Chordata; Actinopteri; Salmoniformes; Salmonidae. The record is from RNAcentral.
UGCAUUCUGUAACUGCCAAUUCUUUCUCUCUCUCUCUCUCUCUCUCUCUCUCUCAUUCUGCAUCUUUCUAAUGCUCUCACUCUCUCGAUUGCUCUUAUUCUCUCACUUGCUCUUAUUCUAUCUGUCUAUAUCCCUUUCUCUCUUUCUCUGUAUCUCUCUCCACCCCUGCUAUACACCCACAGACCUUUAACAGCAGGCUGCAUUUCUCACCUAGGGAAACCUGGCCCGGAAAGUGUUGUCAAGACGACUGCAUUUCCAACGGCAACUCUCUUGGUGUCAUGGUAACGGGAGACUUUACUGUGGGAGGUUCAUUAGGAGGAGGGGGUUCAUGUCAGACCUGAAGAACAGAACAGCUCUAAGGCCACCCGAUCUAAGGCCACCCGAUCUAAGGCCACCCGAUCUAAGGCCAAGGCAUCUUAACUAGAGGAGAGGAGAGAAAAUGCUGGUAUCCCAAAAGCCAGUGCAGUCGGUCACUGUCAUGGUUCUCAUCAUCCACAGUCAGUCGCUGUCAGGAGAAUGAAAGGGAAACAAUGAACAAAAUGCAGUGGAACUGACGUCGAGGUCCAGAGAUGAGUUUGAGGGCUCUAAAGGUUUCUUCCUUACUUUUGAACAUACUAAACGUUGCUGAAGUCUCUUACGUGUUGCUAGCAAA